GGGUUGUGAGGUUAAGCGACUAAGCGUACACGGUGGAUGCCCUGGCAGUCAGAGGCGAUGAAGGACGUGCUAAUCUGCGAUAAGCGCCGGUAAGGUGAUAUGAACCGUUAUAACCGGCGAUUUCCGAAUGGGGAAACCCAGUGUGAUUCGUCACACUAUCAUUAACUGAAUCCAUAGGUUAAUGAGGCGAACCGGGGGAACUGAAACAUCUAAGUACCCCGAGGAAAAGAAAUCAACCGAGAUUCCCCCAGUAGCGGCGAGCGAACGGGGAGGAGCCCAGAGCCUGAAUCAGCAUGUGUGUUAGUGGAAGCGUCUGGAAAGGCGCGCGAUACAGGGUGACAGCCCCGUACACAAAAGCGCAUGUGCUGUGAGCUCGAUGAGUAGGGCGGGACACGUGGUAUCCUGUCUGAAUAUGGGGGGACCAUCCUCCAAGGCUAAAUACUCCUGACUGACCGAUAGUGAACCAGUACCGUGAGGGAAAGGCGAAAAGAACCCCGGCGAGGGGAGUGAAAAAGAACCUGAAACCGUGUACGUACAAGCAGUGGGAGCACAGGUUUACCUGUGUGACUGCGUACCUUUUGUAUAAUGGGUCAGCGACUUAUAUUCUGUAGCAAGGUUAACCGUAUAGGGGAGCCGGAGGGAAACCGAGUCUUAACCGGGCGUUAAGUUGCAGGGUAUAGACCCGAAACCCGGUGAUCUAGCCAUGGGCAGGUUGAAGGUUGGGUAACACUAACUGGAGGACCGAACCGACUAAUGUUGAAAAAUUAGCGGAUGACCUGUGGCUGGGGGUGAAAGGCCAAUCAAACCGGGAGAUAGCUGGUUCUCCCCGAAAGCUAUUUAGGUAGCGCCUCGUGAAUUCAUCUCCGGGGGUAGAGCACUGUUUCGGCUAGGGGGCCAUCCCGGCUUACCAACCCGAUGCAAACUGCGAAUACCGGAGAAUGUUAUCACGGGAGACACACGGCGGGUGCUAACGUCCGUCGUGAAGAGGGAAACAACCCAGACCGCCAGCUAAGGUCCCAAAGUCAUGGUUAAGUGGGAAACGAUGUGGGAAGGCCCAGACAGCCAGGAUGUUGGCUUAGAAGCAGCCAUCAUUUAAAGAAAGCGUAAUAGCUCACUGGUCGAGUCGGCCUGCGCGGAAGAUGUAACGGGGCUAAACCAUGCACCGAAGCUGCGGCAGCGACACUCAGGUGUUGUUGGGUAGGGGAGCGUUCUGUAAGCCUGUGAAGGUGGCCUGUGAGGGUUGCUGGAGGUAUCAGAAGUGCGAAUGCUGACAUAAGUAACGAUAAAGCGGGUGAAAAGCCCGCUCGCCGGAAGACCAAGGGUUCCUGUCCAACGUUAAUCGGGGCAGGGUGAGUCGACCCCUAAGGCGAGGCCGAAAGGCGUAGUCGAUGGGAAACGGGUUAAUAUUCCCGUACU
This 1416-nucleotide ribosomal RNA is filed under the name Salmonella enterica. Its description in RNAcentral is "bacterial LSU rRNA". It matches the Rfam family "Bacterial large subunit ribosomal RNA", at positions 1 to 1445 of the family's 2925-position model. Lineage: Bacteria; Pseudomonadati; Pseudomonadota; Gammaproteobacteria; Enterobacterales; Enterobacteriaceae. RNAcentral also lists the same sequence under 7 other names. The record is from RNAcentral.